AAAAGAUUAGUUAAAAAAUAACACAAGUAUGUCAAACUUAUAUUAUUAAUAUAAUAUUAAUAUCUUUUA
Molecule: transfer RNA, 69 nt
Filed under: Tricholepidion gertschi
Lineage: Eukaryota; Metazoa; Arthropoda; Insecta; Zygentoma; Lepidotrichidae
Description: tRNA-Asp
Source: RNAcentral